AACCUAUGGUGAGGGCAACUUCUCAAUAAAUCAUUAUACCUCUCCCAUGCAUCGUAUUGGGUUUCUAAGUCCAUUUGUAUAAAGGAAGAGAUAUCAUUCCUCAACUU
This 107-nucleotide small nucleolar RNA is filed under the name Gossypium hirsutum (cotton). RNAcentral's name for it is "Plant small nucleolar RNA R71". It matches the Rfam family "Plant small nucleolar RNA R71". Rfam says of the family: R71 is a member of the C/D box family of snoRNAs containing the C (UGAUGA) and D (CUGA) box motifs. Multiple nearly identical copies of this snoRNA have been identified in Arabidopsis, and it is thought to function as a 2'-O-ribose methylation guide for 18S ribosomal RNA. The record is from Rfam by way of RNAcentral. RNAcentral also lists the same sequence under 1 other name. Lineage: Eukaryota; Viridiplantae; Streptophyta; Magnoliopsida; Malvales; Malvaceae.